Long non-coding RNA from Gasterosteus aculeatus aculeatus (three-spined stickleback), 600 nucleotides. The record is from Ensembl. Lineage: Eukaryota; Metazoa; Chordata; Actinopteri; Perciformes; Gasterosteidae.
GCCAAAGGCAGGAGAGGAAGAGAAGCGCUUCCAGCUAAAUAAACCUGCUCGCUCCGUGUCCACUUUAUAAAAACAAAUGUCUUCCUGGAGUUUCUCCAACGGCUGUUUAUUUGCAGUUGAGUUGACAGUAAGGACUGAAUCAGCCUUCCAGAGAGAUGGAGGAAUACGGGCUAAUGUGGGCCAUUCCAGGAUAAUUCAAUAGAGACCUCAGCACGACUCUUUCCAUAACACACUUUCCCUGAGAGGAUAUGAACAAUGAAGCUGUACAUGUGAUGCUGGACAAAUGCUGGGCCCGCGUUCAACACCUACAGUGUUACAAAGUAAAGCUCUUCCAUGUUCUUUACCGUCCAGAAUAUUUCGUCGCUGUACGAGGGACGAGAUUAGUCAGACCGCUAUUGUGUCGUUGUGAUCCGCGGGCACUCGGAAAGCUUUCUCUGUGCGAUAAGGCCUCGGACUUUUCCUCUCCGCCCUGACCGGGGCAGACAGCGGCUCUAAGCGGUGCCCUCCACGUCGGCAUGAGGCUCCUCCACUGUGGGCUCUGAUGGAUGAUGCAGAUAAGAAGGGCUGUUGUGACUGGGCCGACUAAAGGCCAAGCAGGGU